This 30895-nucleotide long non-coding RNA is filed under the name Citrus x clementina. Its description in RNAcentral is "Citrus clementina (C. clementina) long non-coding RNA (CCLE_LNC000615)". Lineage: Eukaryota; Viridiplantae; Streptophyta; Magnoliopsida; Sapindales; Rutaceae. The record is from RNAcentral.
CCAUGGUAGAAUUAGGAAAAUUGAUACUCACGUACCACCCUUGCUUCUCCAUCGACAUCAUAAUCCCCACCGCCCCGUUCGUAUCAAGCGCCGGUACCGAUGAUUACAUCGCCUCCGUCUCCGCCACAGCUCCCUCCGUUACCUUCCACCAGCUCCCUCCUCCGGUUUCCCGCAUACCCGACACUUUACGUUCACCAGCUGACUUCCCAGCCUUAGUGUACGAGCUUGGCGAGCUCAACAACCCUAAUCUCCACGAAACCCUAAUAACAAUUUCCAAACGCUCAAACCUGAAAGCCUUUGUUAUCGAUUUCCUUUGCAACCCCGCGUUUCAAGUUUCCUCGAGUACUCUCAGUAUCCCUACUUACUAUUACUUCACCUCCGGAGGGAGCGGACUCGCUGCUCUCCUCUACUUACCAACUCUUCAUAGAAACACCACAAAGAGCUUCAGAGAACUCGGCAGCAUGCUUUUAAAUUACCCCGGAUUACCGCCUUUUCCAGCAAGAGACAUGGCGGAACCCAUGCAUGACCGUGAGGGUAAAGCAUACAAGGGCUUAGUCGACACCGGCAUCCCGAUGGCAAAAUCUGCGGGGGUUAUUGUAAACACAUUUGAAUUGCUCGAAGAGAGAGCUAUCAAAGCAAUGCUAGAAGGACAAUGCACUCCAGGGGAGACGUUGCCGCCUUUAUAUUGCAUAGGGCCUGUGGUUGGUGGAGGAAAUGGAGAGAAUCGAGGACGUGAUCGACAUGAAUGCUUGAGCUGGCUUGACUCGAAACCGAGUCGAAGCGUCCUGUUUCUUUGUUUCGGAAGCUUGGGAUCGUUCUCUAGUAAGCAGUUAAAAGAAAUGGCCAUUGGGUUGGACAGAAGUGGUGUUAAGUUUCUUUGGGUCGUGAGAGCUCCAGCUCCCGACAGCGUCGAGAACCGAAGCUCAUUGGAGUCUCUUUUGCCUGAAGGGUUCUUGGAUAGAACAAAAGAUAGGGGGCUCGUGGUUGAAUCGUGGGCGCCGCAAGUAGAGGUACUGAAUCACGAGUCAGUUGGCGAGUUUGUGACUCACUGCGGGUGGAACUCGGUGCUUGAAGGUGUUUGUGCCGGGGUGCCAAUGUUGGCUUGGCCUCUGUAUGCCGAGCAAAAGAUGAUUAAAGCGGUCGUGGUGGAGGAAAUGAAGGUGGGUUUGGCGGUGACUCGGUCAGAAGAAGGAGACGGGUUGGUGAGCGCAGCCGAGUUGGAGCAGCGAGUUAGUGAGUUGAUGGACUCGGAGAAAGGUAGAGCUGUUAAGGAACGUGCGGUGGCAAUGAAAGAAGCAGCUGCAGCAGCGAUGAGGGAUGGUGGGUCAUCUCGUGUUGCAUUGGACAAUUUGGUUGAGUCAUUUAAAAGAGGACGCAUGGCUCCGUUGGGAUAGUCAAAACAAUAAUGAAGUUUUCACAAAAGUUGCAUAAAAUUUCUGUUUAGUAAUUCAAUAUUUUUUGUUUUUAAUAAGUUCAUGCAUUUUUUUUCCUUUGCUAACUUUUUGAGUAAAUGUAUAUGUAUAAAAUUAUUCGAGUAAAAAUUAGCACCUGUGAUUCUCUCUCGUUCUUUUAAAAAUAAACGAUGAUGUUUUUCUUUAAUUUGGAAUAUUAACAAUUGUAUGUCAUUCCGUAGAUUUCCUUUACUAUUCUUAGUACGCUCAUGGGCUAAUUACCAAAGGAUUAUUAUUUAAUGAAUGUCUUUUAAGGAGGGUGGUGAUGCAGAAAAACUGCCUUAACAUUUGAAUUUAUUUGUCUAGGGAAUAACAACACGAAUCCAAGCUCAAACUACAGCUCAACCAUAACUUCUUAUACUACUAACCAUAGAACACGGUUAAUACACGCUGGUGGGGGUUUCGGCAAGAAUCCUUUGAUGCUUAAGUAAGAUGUUUUGUAUAUGAGAAAAAAGAAAAUGAAAAAGAGGAAUUGGAAAUGAGUUAAAAUCAAAGAAUUCUUGGGUGGUUGUGUUGUUAAUCUCAUAAAAAAUAAGAAGGUUUUAAGACUAGCCAUUUAUAGAGCUUUUUAGUUAAUUUUUCUAAUCAUUUCCUUUGAUGCUCUUUUCCACUUAAAAUAGGCUCUCAGUUGUGGAUGGUUACUCCAUUAGUUUUAUCCCAUUCUCUUGAGCAGUUAUAGCUAGUUGUCAGUUGAAGACGGUUUGGCAAGUUGUGGUUUGUAAUUUCCCCAAAAUAUAGGCCACGUGGUCUUGACAAAUAAUAUUUCGUGUCGAGCUAGCACAUCCUCAGGUUGGACAAACAAAUUUCGAGGUUGAAUUACUUCAUUUCCAGAUCGUAUUAGUGGAUUUUUAUGUCGCUCGCAUGGGCCUAGAGUUGUAUUUAUAAAUAAGGUCGUCCACAUUAAUUCCAAGUUGUACUUGUCAACAUAGGCUUCUAGUUGUACUCAUAAGGUCAGUUCAACAACAUUUGAUUCCUAACAAGUUAGGGUCAAUUGUAUUUCUUAACAUUAUUAGAAAAAAAAAACUAAUCUCAACACCAGUCCCUUAGUUUUUAAUAUCAGGAAGUUAUUACGAGUGUUAGAAAUUAAUUAUUAAAAAAAAAUAGAAAAAUAUUCGCAAACCCAACACUAGUCGCUUAGUUUCCAAUAUCGAGAAGAUAUGAUCUGUGUUGGAAACUUAAACGGGGGAUAAUAUGACCUUGAGCUGACCAAAGAAUGCUUAGCUAAACAUGAAUGAUGCCGAGUUGAAUGGGCUUAAAAAUUGUUAAAAUUUUGCAUUGAUCAUAGAGAAAAGACAAAAAGGACGAAAAAGUAGAGAAUUAAAUAAAUAAGGUAAUAAAACAAAAGUAAAGAAAUAAAUGAAUAAGGCAACAAAACAAAAGUCAUGUCACGUUAGUAGAGGAAUGCAAAAUUUAAGUCACCAACUUUUGUCUUAUAGUCAAUACUAAGGUAAUCUCGGCCAUACGAUUGCCUAAGGGCUUAGAUAAGGUAAUCUAUGAAGGGCACAAUUACGAGAACUAGAUGUGGCUAACUACAAAUUUAUUGUACAACUCACGUGGUAUAAAUAGCAUGGAUUUAAUUAAAUAAAACACCGUACCAUCCAUAUCAUUUAUUUUUAUUAUGUUAUCUAUUUGUAUACAAUAGUUGAGAGUUUGUGACUGCUGUAUUUUAGUGUCUUCUUGUUAUUUUUCUCAAAAAGUACCAAAAAGAAAUUCAGUCCAAAGUCCAUAAUCCGACCCGGCCCAAACAUAAAUUAAGCUGUUUGGUGCUUGAGCUACGAUACGGCCUUGGAUCACUUGCAUGAAUACAGUGAGGGGCUUUUAGCAAUAGUCGUUAAUUGGCUUAUCCGAAAAGUCCAUAGUACAAACACUUCGUAAUAAUUAUUUGUAUUUUUUUAUUACAUAAUAAUAUGCAUUUGAACACACAAACCCACUCACUAAAUCCACACUUGGAAAAAAAAAAUUAAAUUAUUAAAAUAUUUGUAUUCUUUAAGCCCAUCUUUACACUCACCGUUACAUUUUUUUUAACCCUGAAUUGAUAUCUUUAUUUAUUUUUUAUUAAUCUUAGAACACAUAUAAAGUGACUCCUAUUGAAUUUAUGGAAGAGCAAAAUAAUGUUGAGAAUAAUUUUAAUUACAAAGAAGUGUGAAUUUCUUUCAUUUACAUACGACUGCCAAAUAAUAAUUUAACCAUAUGCUUAAGAGAAAUUAUAGAAUACGAGAAAACGUCGCCUAUUUUAAUUGAGAAUUUUGAUCCUCAUUGUAAAAAACUUGAUUAGUAGUAUUUCCUCGUAAGCAAAAGUUGAAAUUAAUUUGCCAGCUACAUAUUUUAGUUAAUUGUUAAGCAGGUUUAGUGAGAAUUCCAUUGAAAUAUAGUUAGAAGUUUUAAAAAAAUUGAAGGAGACUUCAUAUGCUUCUUGAAUACAACAUUUUAAAGAAAUGACAUGUGAUGGGUUUAAUAAUAGCUGGCUUUUUAAUAGUAGAGGAGUGUUAGCGACAAUCGCCCAUCAGCCGCUAACUUCAUUUGCUGACACGUGUUUGAUAUUUUGGGUUCUGUAUAGUUUUAAAUAAAUGUUAAAAUAUUAAUAUCUUUUAGUUUUAUUUUAAUAUUAUUAUAUAUAUGUAUAGUGAAAUUACCAAAACAUCCUUAUCCUUUCUCCUCCUUGCCAAGCUUUCUCUUCUUAUUGUUCUCUUCUCCGUCAAUUUCUUUUCCUUCUUUUCUCCUUUAACGAAAGAUUGGAAGGGAAAAAAAAAAAAAGACAAGGGGAAAAAAGAUUUAAAAAAACAAAGUCUCCUAAAAAAAGAAAUGAUAACAAAAUAUUAUCGUUGCUUGAAAGAUGACCGUCUCUCCACUUCUCCUACUUCAGAUUUGAUAUGAUAUUUUAUUUUAGGUGCGUAAUCGGAUCUACAUGGCUAGGAUAAUUUUUGUUAUUUAUUUUUUAAAGUAAAAUAUUUUUUAAAAUUUUAUUUUAGCUAAAAAGGAGACUUGACUUCAAAUUUUUUUUUUUCCCUUUUCUCUCUUUUUUCCAAGCUUCCAGUAGAGAGAGAAAAGAAAUUGAAGAAGCAGAGAAGGAGCUGCAGUGGCAGGGAGAACAAGCCUGGCGAGAGGGAGAAAUGAUAAGGAUAUUGUGGUAAAUUCGUUAUACAUAAAAAUAAUAAUAUUAAAACAAAACUUAAAGAUAUUAACAUUAAUUUAAAAUUACACAGAACCAAAAUAUCAAACACGUGCCCAUAAAAUAAAAGAGCGACUGAGUUAGUGGCCCACAAGGGCGACCGACUGUCGCUAGCACACCUCUUUAUGCUAUCAUUAAUCAAUUGACAUGUAAUGUGCCAGUAAAUUGGGACACAAAUAUUUUAUUCCGAUUUCGCGGACAGAUUAAUUGUACUUCAGUACUCGCCGAGCCAAUAAUUUAAAUUAAAAUUGGUCAGCAUUAACAUGCCACGAAUAUAGCUACAAGAUUGGCUUAAUCGCAAUGGAAGUGACUGUUGUAGACUUCAUAUGUUCAUAUUUUGAUUGGCCUAAUCGCAAUUGAAGUGACUGUUGCAGACUUCAUAUGUUCAAAUUUUGAUUGGCCUAAUCGCAAUGGAAGGUUCACAUGCCUAAUAUAUUAUUCUUACUUCUAAAAGGAUAAAAAUUUAAGGAGUUUUCUCUCUAUAAAUUUAAUUUUAUUGUACAUACGAUCACAAAUUUAAAUUAAAUUGUCACAUGAAUCAUUUGUAAGGCUAAUUUGAUAACGUUGUAUCUUUAAAAAUAAUUACCGGUAAAUAUAUCAUAAAGAAACCAAUAAAACUAAUAUAUUAAUAUUCUAAACUUUUUUCUAUAAGCUCCGACCUUUUUUUUAGCAUUUAAUAAUUUUAAAUUAUAGGUAAAGAAAUGAAAGAAUACUUUAUUUUUUAUCCUUCUCCAAGAAAAAUGUCACUUAAAUUUCAUCGUAGGAUUAGGAAAAUUGAUACUUAAUUACCACCCUUGCUACCAUAAUCCGCACCACCGCCCCAUUCGAAACAAGCUCCUGUAUCCACGGUUGCAUCGCCUCCGUCUCCGCCACCACUCCUUCCGUCACUUUCCACCACUUCCCUCUGGUAAUCUAGAAGAAUUAAGGGAUAGUUUUUGUUUUUUAUUUUUAUUUUUAAUACGGUGGAGCCUAGUUAAAGAUUAGGAGAAAACAGAGCGGGGUAGGGGACAGGUAAAUCAAGCGGUGUAAACAUAGGCCACGUCAUUUGCUUUGAAAAAUCAUAGUGGGUAGUUGAACUAUGUGGCUAGAAACAGGUUGGUCAAUUAUGUCAGCAUACUGUGAUUGUCUGAUGGGUUCACAACCUGGCAACUAAGUGACCUCAACUCGCAAGUCCUUCUCGUUUUGAUAAAUAAUUCAGCCCACAUGCUACACUUACACAAGGCAUUGAAGCCGAGUAGAAGAGACUUAAUCGUUUUCCCCAAAAUCCUCCUCCACUUGUGAAAGUAUCUUUAAGCUCCCUUUACUUCAACCAACAAUUCUUUGCCCAUUUCGUCGUGGGUUUCGAUGCAUAAUUGCAUUGCGAUUAGCAAACACAAAGGAGCCCUUUAUCACACUCUCAUUCUCUCUCACUAUAAUUUCUCACCAUUUCUACUGUUUUUUUUUUUAAAUUUUAACUUGUAAAAUUAAAGAUUAAAAAAAAUGAAAGAUACGAUUGUCUUUUAUACUUCUCCAGGAAGAGGUCACUUAAACUCCAUGGUUGAAUUAGGAAAAUUGAUACUCACGUACCACCCUUGCUUCUCCAUCGACAUCAUAAUCCCCACCGCCCCGUUCGUAUCAAGCGCCGGUACCGAUGAUUACAUCGCCUCCGUCUCCGCCACAGCUCCCUCCGUUACCUUUCACCAGCUCCCUCCUCCGGUUUCCGGCCUACCCGACACUUUACGUUCACCAGCUGACUUCCCAGCCUUAGUGUACGAGCUUGGCGAACUCAACAACCCUAAACUCCACGAAACCCUAAUAACAAUUUCCAAACGCUCAAACCUCAAAGCCUUUGUUAUCGAUUUCUUUUGCAACCCCGCGUUUCAAGUUUCCUCAAGUACUCUCAGUAUCCCUACUUACUAUUACUUCACCACCGCAGGAAGCGUACUCGCUGCUAACCUCUACUUACCAACUCUUCAUAAAAACACCACAAAGAGCUUCAGAGAACUCGGCAGCACGCUUUUAAAUUUCCCCGGAUUUCCGCCUUUUCCAGCAAGAGACAUGGCGUUACCCAUGCAUGAUCGUGAGGGUAAAGUAUACAAGGGCUUAGUCGACACCGGCAUCCAGAUGGCAAAAUCUGCGGGGGUUAUUGUAAACACAUUUGAAUUGCUCGAAGAGAGAGCUAUCAAAGCGAUGCUAGAAGGACAAUGCACUCCAGGGGAGACGUCGCCGCCUUUAUAUUGCAUAGGGCCCGUGGUUGGUCGAGGAAAUGGAGAGAAUCGAGGACGAGAUCGACAUGAAUGCUUGAGUUGGCUUGACUCGAAACCGAGUCGAAGCGUCCUGUUUCUUUGUUUCGGAAGCUUGGGAUCGUUCUCUAGUAAGCAGUUAAAAGAAAUGGCCAUUGGGUUGGAGAGAAGUGGUGUUAAGUUUCUUUGGGUCGUGAGAGCUCCAGCUCCCGACAGCGUCGAGAACCGAAGCUCAUUGGAGUCUCUUUUGCCUGAAGGGUUCUUGGAUAGAACAAAAGAUAGGGGGCUCGUGGUUGAAUCGUGGGCGCCGCAAGUGGAGGUACUGAAUCAUGAGUCAGUUGGCGGGUUUGUGACUCACUGCGGGUGGAACUCGGUGCUUGAAGGUGUUUGUGCCGGGGUGCCAAUGUUGGCUUGGCCUCUGUAUGCCGAGCAAAAGAUGAUUAGAGCGGUCGUGGUGGAGGAAAUGAAGGCGGGUUUGGCGGUGACUCGGUCAGAAGAAGAAGACAGGUUGGUGAGCGCAGCCGAGUUGGAACAGCGAGUUAGUGAGUUGAUGGAGAAAGGUAGAGCUGUUAAGGAACGUGCGGUGGCAAUGAAAGAAGCAGCUGCAGCAGCGAUUAGGGAUGGUGGGUCAUCUCGUGUUGCAUUGGACAAUUUGGUUGAGUCAUUUAAAAGAGGAUGCAUGGCUCCGUUGGGAUAGUCAAAACAAUAAUGAAAUUUGCACAAAAGUUGCAUAAAAUUUCUGUCUUGUAAUUCAAUAUUUUUCGUUUUAAUAAUUUCGUGCAUUUUUUUCUUGCCUUUGCUAACUUUUUGAGUAAACGUAUAUGUAUAAAAUUAUUCGAGUAAAAUUAUUAAAGCUAGCACCUAUUCCAAUUUGAUGAAUUGAGCCAUAGGAAAAGGUACGCAAACGAACAAAAACAAUUAUAAUAAAUUGCAUUAUCUAAAUCCUUAGGCAACGUAUUGCCGAGAUUACCUUAUAAUAAAAAGAAUUAUAAUAAAUCACAUAAAUUAAGCCCUUAGGCAACGAGUGGCCGAGAUUACCUUAUUAUUGGCUAUAAGACAAAAGUUUGUGACUUAAAUUUUGCUUUCCUCUACUCACAUUACAUGACUUUUGUUUUGUUGUCUCAUUCAUUUAUUGUUUUGUUGCCUUAUUUAUUUAUUUCUUUUACUUAUUCGUCCUUUUUUCUCUUCUCUAUGAGCAAUGCAAUUUUUUUUUUACAAUUUUUGAGCCCAUUCAACUCGGCAUUAUUUAUGUUUAGCUACGCUUUCUUUGCUCAGCUCGAGGUCAUAUUGUCCUCCGUUUAAGUUUCCAACACCAAUCGUAUCUUUUCAAUAUUGGAAACUAGGGUGCUAGUGUUGGGUUUGCGAAAAUAUUUUCUAUUUUUUAAUUAAUUUCCAACACCAGUAAUAGCUUCCCAAUAUUAAAAACUAAAGGAUUGAUGUUAGGUUUACGAAUUUUUUUUUUCUAUUUUUUCAAUAAUUAGUUUUGAGCACCAGUAAUAGUUUCCCGAUAUUAAAAACUAAGGGACUUGUGUUGAGGUUGGAUUUUUUCUAACAAUGUCGAGAAAUACAGUUGAUUCUAACAUUUGUUCGGAAUCAAUUGUCGUUGAGCUGGCCUCAUGAGUACAACUAAGAGCCUAUGUUGGUGACGUGGUUUAUAAGUACAAUCUAGAGUCAAUGUGGACGAGCUGGUUUAUAAAUACAACUCUAAGUCCAUACGAGCGACAUAAAAAUCUACCAAUCUGAUAUGGAAAUGAAGUAGUUUGAGCUGGAAACUCGUUUGUCUGACCUGAGAAUAUGCUAGCUUGACACGGAAUAUUAUUUGUUAGGACCACGUGGCAUAUAUUUUGAGAAAGUUACAUAACAUGCAACUUAUCAAACCGCCUUUAGUUGACAACUAGCUGCAACUGCUCAAGAGAGUAGAAUAAAACUGAUGAGAUAAUCACCCACAAUCGAGAGCCUAUUUAAGUUGAAAAGAGCAUAAGAGAAAAGUGGUAGAAAAAUUAACUAAAAAACCCUACAAGUGACUAGUCUUAAAACCUUCAUAUUUUCUACGAGAUUGACAACACAACCACCGAAGAAUUCCUUGAUUUUAACUCAUUUCCAGUUCCUCCUUUUCAUUUUCUUUUUUCUUAUAUACAAAAUGUCUGACUUAAGCAUCGGAGGAUUCCUGUCAGAAACCCCCACCGGCGUGUCCUAACCGUGUUCUGUGGUUGGCAGGUAUAGGAAGUUGCAGUUGAGUUGUAGUUUGAGCUUGGAUUCGUGAUGUUAUUCCCCAUAAAAUAAAUUAAGCUCUUGAGGUCAUUUUUGGGCAUCAACAUAGGGUUGGGUGUAGAGUUUAAUUAUAAAUUUUAACUCUUUAUCUCUCUAGAAGUUGAACUCAUACAACUAAUUAAAUAAAGAGGGUGAAAGCUACUCUUCAAAUCCCUGAAGUCAAGUAAACACAUAAAAUUAAUCUAAGUAAUUAAGUUUUAAAAAAUGCUGGAAUUUUUCAUCAAGUAUUUUUUUCUUAAUCAUGCAAAUAUAAGGGAAUGAUAAGUACCAGACGAUUUAUCAUGUAACUAAAAUGUAAAAUUAAUUAAUUUUUCUUAAUAUACUCCUUGUCCUUUUAAUUUUACUGUACUAAUAAUUAGGGAUGAGCAAACUCAGCCCAACUCAAUACAUUCGAUCCAAUCCAAUUUAAACAAGUUGAGUGGGUUGUUAUGAGUAAUAAGUUUAAUUUUUUUUAUAGUUUAUUAUUAAUAUCUUUUAAAAAAAAGGAAAAAAAAUCUUUAUCUUCUCAUAUUCAUUGAAUUAAAUAUUUUGAAAUCAUUUCCACCAACAUUCCACUGAAUUAGUAGUAGAGAAUGCUACGUUAGAACGCUAUUUUAUUUAAUAUCAACAAAGGCCUCUUUGGGUCAUUUGCGUGAAUAAAAUAGUAUUGAUAUUUGAAGCAGAAAUUUGAAAAGAAUGAAACAAAAGCCUGCAGACGCCCCAUCAUUAUGUUGGUAAUGUCUGAUUAAUGACGUAUGCAGUUACAAGCUUAGAGUACAAAUUCACAUAACCAGCUAUAACUUUUAAGAUACAAUAAUUAUACAAAAAAAAUUAUAAUUAUAAAAUAAAAUUUAAUGGUACAUAGUAAAUAUAAUAUUUAAAUAAUAAAAAUAAAAAAUUAUAUCAACAUAAUUUCUAAGAUACUGCAGUUACUGUUUAUCAAACACUUUAAUAUUAUAAUUUUUAAAUUACAUUUACACAACUUCAAUAAUAAAACAGGGGCAUAAUUGAAAUGCCUUGUAUACACAUCAAAGGUCUACAUAAAUUUAAAUGGGAGAAUGAGAUUCCAGCCGAGUCGAGCAUGCUAGAACCCAGAAAUAUCCUAUCUUGCUGAGCAGGGGCGCAUCACAUCAGUUUGAUAUUCGAAAUUACACUUUAAGAUAUGCUUAUAGUCAGCAGAAAGCAUAAGAGCUGAUUUGUACUCAGCAAUAAUCAAAAGGUUUAUUCACCCAAGCAAAUUGAAAAUAAAACAUAUUGAUCCAUAACAGAGGACAAUUUGACGACGGGUUACAUUUCAAACGUUCACCAAACCUUAUGUGUAAGAGUAGAACAUGGGCUAAACAGAACAAUAUACAAGCUCCUUCAAGCACACAUUAGUUACAAAGCUUUUGACCCUGGAACGUAAACUCCGAGCAAGAAAGACGGAAUGCCAUCUGAGAGACAGAUUUAAUUGCUCCUGCAAGAACCAGUGAAAGCAAAGAAACCAAAAAACGAGGCAUUAGUUUGGGAAAGAAAAAUAUGUGAUGCAAUAAGAAGUGAGCCGACUAUAUCAUAAAUUAAACCCACUUAACAUGUGAAUGAGUAUUACCGUUUAAUCCCUGAACGUUCUUUGCAGUUUGGCAAUAUUCACAGCUGUUAUCAGAUAGACCCAAUCUUUCACACUGGUUAGGAAUUUGAAGUAACCAUGUCUCCACGAAGUAUUCACCAGUAAAGUGCCGCAGACUCCCCAGAAUCCAAUAAAGAAACCAAGAAUCACACUCACGUAGAACCCGAAAGUUAUCAACUGAUCCUCCCCUUCUGGAGUGUUUGCAUCAUCUCUCUCUGGGCUUGCAGCUGAGUCUUCAUCCGGACACUUAUUUCGAAGUGGGAGGCCGCAAAGUUCAGGAUUUCCAGCGUACACCGAGGCAUUGAAGCUCUGGAGUUGAGUGCCCAAUGGAAUUUUGCCUGACAAGUUGUUGUACGACAAGUUCAUGACACUAAGACGACUUAACUGACAAAGGCUUGAAGGAAUGCCGCCGACAAACUGAUUUUGAGACAAAUCGAGGAAAUCCAAUGAUUUUAACUGAUCGAUCUUUGGAGUGAUUUGUCCAGUUAAAUUGUUUCUCGAAAGGUUCAAGGCAACCAAUCCCACAAGAUCCAUAAUUUCUUCAGGAAUAGUGCCACUUAAUUUAUUCAUUGAAAAGUCAAGGAUCUUCACAAGUCCUAGAGUGCUUCUGUACUCGUGCUGACUUCCUUUCCAUGUUAACACAACAUUGUCGACAUACGAUUCGAGAAAUUCUAUGCCUUGACGUUCAAAGGUAUAGUUGGAUGUAAUGGCAAGAUUGGAACUGCUCUUUUGGGCCAUACCAGUAAAAUUAUUUAAACAUUUUGGUAUGAUUCCCGAUAUAUUGUUUAACGAAAGAUCCAAGAUCUGAAUGUAUGAUAGUUGGCAAACCUGAAAAGGUAUAUUUCCAUGGAAUUUGUUGGAUUUCAGACUCAGAACAACCAAUUUUGGAAGGCCUUCUCCGAUCCAUGUUGGUAUCUCUCCGGAUAAUCCGUUCUUCCCAAGAUCCAUAAGUAUCAGUUGUGAGCAGCUCUUGAAAAAUGAAGGCAAUUCCCCAAUUAAGCUAUUGUUGUACAAGCUCAAUGUUUGGUUAGAAUGUAGGAAGCCCAUUGACUUUGGAAUUUUCCCAGAAAAGAAGUUGUUGGCCAAACUAAGAACAGCUAGCCUAUCGAAUUGCAUCCAACAAUCUGGAAGCCUUCCUGAUAAUAUGUUAUUUGAGAGAUCAAGAAAUUCCAAUUUAUGGCCAUUGAUAGAGCAUAAGAAGGAAAUUGACUCUGAAAACUUAUUUCUGGAGAGAUUUAAGACUGACGCAUUUGAAGGAAGAGGCGGAAUUAGGCCCUCAAAGUAGUUUGAACUAAUAUCUAUGCUAGAACUAAAAGGAUCAAAUCUCAAAGAUAAAUUUGGAAGUUUACCCUUGAUAUGAUUGUUAGAGAGAUUGAAAUCAGCUAUUGUAUGGGAUAGAUCCCAAAACCAAUCGGGGACAGUAUCUGAGAUUCCAGCAUCGGAGAUAUCAAGUACCUCAAUUUGAUUUUGAGUUUGAAGCCAUUUUGGAAAAUGAGGCCCCAUCUGACAUGAGCCGAGAAGUAUAAUGAUUAGCUGAAAGGGAGGAAUCCAGUCAUGGCUGAAUUUCAAUGUGAAAGAGUUAUCAUCUAAAUGCAAUGCCUUUAAGUUGGAGAGUUCUGAAAACACAGAUUCAGUGACAACACCGGUUAACGAAUUCCCAGAAAGUGACAGAGCAUCAAGCUUGUACAUGCGGCUGAGCCAUUGGUUUAUAGUCCCAUUUAAACCAUUUUUUCCAAGAAACAAUUCUUUCAAGAUGAAAAUCCUCCAAGAUCAGGUAUUGGCCCCGCGAUAUCAUUGUGAGCUAAAUUCAGCCACUCCAGGGAAUUGUUCAUGCAUCCACCAGACAGAUUUUGAAUGAAGUCCCAGAGCUGUCCACUGAGUUUAUUGGAUGACAAAUCUAACGUAUUUAAACUACACAUGUUUCCGAAGAAUUGUGGAAUCCCACCUUCAAGUUCAUUAAAUCCGAGAUAGAGAGUUCGAAGAGAAACCAUGCGAUCAAAAGGCUCUAGAAGCGAACCUUGUAAUAGGUUAGAAUCCAGGUCAAGAACAACAAGCUUGCUACUAAUAUUGAACAACCAAGGGUAUAUUGAAGAAGAGAGACUGUUUUCAAAUAGAUAAAGGGCCCCAAGUGAUGAUGUACUAAAAUUAAGGUGCAAAAGAUCGGAUGGAAUGAUAGGUGGAAGAUGACAAUGCUCUAGAUUCAAAGUUCUUAGGGACGGGAGCUUGUCAAUUAUGCGAAGCCAGUCACGGGAUUUAUUGAGGUUAAUAUAACUCAGGUCAAGAUAUUUCAGUCUUGAAAGGUUUCCAAGCUGAGAAGGGAUUGGUCCUUCAAACUCAGCAGACGAAAGACUGAGGUACCUCAAUUUGUUGAGGGAACCAAUGAACUCUGGGAUUCGACUUCCGCUGAAGUCAUUUUCACUAAGGUCCAAAUGUCUUAAAUGAUACAAUUUAAGCAAAGAAGGGCUGAUUGUACCUUUCAAAGGCUCUGAGUGAACCAAUACUUGAAGAUCGAGAACAAUAACGUGGCCCGUUGUGUUGCUACAGCGGACUCCUCUCCAGUAACAGCAAUCUCUUUUGUCAUCUUCCCUUCCCCAAGAGGACAGAAUGCCGUAUUCAUCCACCAGGCUCUGCUUGAAUUCCAGUAGUGCUUCUCUUUCCUCUUCCAUGCACCUUAUCACGUUAUUAGAAUCUGCAACUCUUGGCUGAAUAUUGAGCAGAAUCGCACAAAAGGAAAUAAAAUGUACGAGGAAACAUUGAGCUGACAUUGUUAACAUUAACAUUAAUUGAAAAGAUAUGGCAAUUACAACUACUCGUUUGAUUUAUAUAGUAGCUAGCUGUAGGCCUAUAGCUUGUCUUUCUCAACAUUAGUGUUUAGUUAAUUCGCUCAAUAACUUUUGCAAAAGCAAUUUGCUUCUUCUUCUUCUUAUUAUUAUUAUUAGGGAAAUUAUCAUUUUACUACUAAAGUUUUACUGACAUAUCUUGUCAGUACCAAGAUUUGCCGAAAAAUAUAUUUUAUUACCAAAGUUUUGCGCCGUUAUCAAUUCCCUACUAUUCCUUUAAGAAAAAGUUAAUGUUUAACGGAAAUUGAGUUAAAAGUCGAUUUUACCCCUAAGAGUUUGAUAGUAAAAUGAUAAUUUUCCUAAAAAUUUGAUAGUAAAAUGAUCAUUUAUCUAUUAAAUUAACAGACAAUUUUACUCUUACAGCUGAAAAUGUCUUUGAUGCCCUUAUAACAUUAGCAAAUUUUUAACGUUGUUAACGGAAUGGUAGUGAAUUAAUAUCGGUGCCAAACUUUGAUAGUAAAAUACACUUUUCGUCAAAUCUUGGUACUGACAUGAUAUGUCAGUAAAACUUUAAUAGUAAAAUAAUAAUAUCCCUUAUUAUUAUUUUUUCUCUAUUCUACUUUAUGAAUAUUGGAAAAAGCAGACUUUGGCCCAUGACAAUGCAAAUGCAAUGCCCUGCGUUUCCGUCAGCCUUGAAAAUUAAUGAUGUGAUCAUAAUUCAUUCAAAUUCAUGUGAAACGCAGACUUAUUUGAAUUUGAAUGAAUUGUGCUGAACUUUUAUAUAUUUUGUGUUACACAUGCAUUUCUAAAUAUUAAUGAUGUGAUCAUAAUUUAUCUAUUGUUUUAAUUUUUUAAUUUAGUUUUUAUUUUUAUUUUUAUAUUUUAUUAUUAUAGGAAUAUUUGGAAUACUCAAGUGAAAGGGAGCUUAAAAAAAAAACAAAUUAUAGUUUAUGGAAAUAAUUGCUGCUUGUGAAGAAUAAAAAGAAAGAGGAAAAAGGAUGCUUAAAGGAGAACAAUUGGCAUUUUAUAUGUGCAACUCACGUGAAUAGUUGGAAAAACAUUGACCAUUGAUUCAAGUGGGCUUCACGUGUAUGGGCUUAAAGUCGGUUGAGCUUGACUUGUUUUAAAUCCUUUUCAUUUGAGUAUUUUGUGGUGGUGUUACAAUAUAAAAAGAAGAACUAGAAGAAAGCAGCGGAAACAAGAAAAAUUGAAGAGGGCAGCCGCAAAACUGAGAGAAAAACCGAGAGCAAGAAGAAAAGAAAAAAAAAAAAAAAAGAGAAGCCGCCGCUGCAAAUUCGGGAGCAACAAUUUGGAAAAGUUAAUUGCAGAGAUUGGAGAGAGACAACUUUUUGAGCUUAUUCUUUCUCUUCUUUUUUUUUAUUAUCUUGCUUGAAUGUUAGCAAUUAAAUUUAUAAAUUCUCUUUAUAUUUUCAUAAAUUAAUUUAUUUUACUAGGGCUACGAUGUAGCCUAACUAUGAAGAUUUAAUUCUAUAAAUAUAUGUUAUUUUUAGUUUAUUAUUCCAUAGUUGAAUGUUCAUUAUUCUACUUAAUACUUUUAAACAUUUGACUAAUAUUUGAAUGAUUUGAGGAUACAUAAUGAGAUCGAGAGAAUAUUUAUUUAUUUUUGUUCUGUGUAAUGGAUGUCAUGAAUUGAACGAAAGAUAGAGAUGUGCCAAUGUGAUUCAUGCAGUUUUUCUAAGAAUUUCCAUAGAGUUUAAUGGAUCUUUGGAUAUUUAAAUUCACAUAUAGAUAUAAUGGGUUAAUAUGUGAGGGUAUUCUUGAUAUUACUCGAGAGAGGAUAUUGAAUAGAUUAGGGAACUUUAUUGUCAACAUGAGUAAUAAACUUUAAUAGCAUAGAUGGAUGAUUAAAUUGGAUUGGUUAUGGUGAAAUCGAAUGUCCUAGUGUUUUAAUCUCUUGGUGAUUUCGAUUACUGCUUGCAUAUUUAUUUAGUUUUUAGUUAUUUUAUUUUAUUUUAAUUUUUAAUCUAAAUUCGCCUAUCUGAUUGUUCAAAUAAAUUAGGGUUAGAAUAAUUUCGGUAGGUAAUAAAAUAUACAAUCUCUGUGGGACGAUAUUCUACUUUUCAUUAUAUUACUUGUGCUGACUAGUAUACUUGAUAAUUUAUGCAUAAAGUUUUGGCGUUGUUGCCAGGGAUUGUUUAGAUUAAUAUCGAUACCAACUAACCUUAGUUUAAUUUGAAUUUGAAUUUUAUUGUUUUUAUUUUUAUUUUUGUUUUCUUGUUUAAUUUUAUGAGACGUUCAAGAAGUUUUGAUUUAUUGCCUUUUGAUACAAAGAUUGAAUGCACUUGUAAAAGGCUUAAUAGAGAAAAGAGAGAAGCUUUAUAAGAGCAACAACUAAUCAUGGCUGAUGAAUCAUUACAGGAAAAUGAGGAUGCAAGACUUUUAAGAGAUUAUGGUAUUCCUACAGUUAAUGGUACUCGCUCAAGCAUUGCACGCCCUGCCGGUCAAGCCAAUAAUUUUGAAAGUAAGUAAGCCAUAAUCUAGAUGAUUUAGACGUCAGUACAAUUUGUUGGGAUGUCGAAUGAUGAUCCAAAUGCUAAUUUGCAAAUUUCUUGGAAAUUUAUGACACAUUUAAGCAAAAUUGUGUUUCAGACAAUGCUUCAGGCUAAGGCUUUUUCCGUUCUCACCGAGGGAUAAAACAAAAGAGUGGUUAAAUUCACUCCCUAAUGGAACAAUCACUACAUAGGAUGGUUUAGUGCAGAUGUUUUUAAUAAAAUACUUUUCUCCAGCAAAAACAGCUAAGUUGAGGAAUGACAUCACAACCUUUGCUCAGUUUGAGCUAGAAUCAUUAUAUGAAGUAUGGGAGAGAUACAAAGACCUAUUAAAAAAUGCCCACAUCACGGUCUACCAGUUUGACUUUAGGUACAAAUAUUUUACAAUGGUUUGGGAUCCAAUACCAGAACAAUGAUCGAUGCUGCAGCAGCAGGAACACUAAUGGGAAAAACACCAGAAGCAACUUAUGAAUUAUUGGAGGAGAUGACCUCUAAUAAUUACCAAUAGUUUUCAGAGCAAUCAAUGCCAAGGAAAACUGCAGGAGCCCAUAAUUAGAGCUGGCAAAAUGGGUCAACGGGUCGUGUCAAAUUUAGGUCGACCCAAACCGAACCCAUUUAAUAAUUAUGUCAAAAUAUUAAGACCCAAAUCCGACAUGAAAAAAUAAUCUGGUUACUCAAUAACCCACUUAAUAUCUAUAUAUUAAACAAAAUUUACAUCAAAUAUCUAUAUACUAUUGUACAUACAUAAAUACAUAUAUAAUUUAUUGAUAUUAUAAAAUGUACAUAUCUACAAAAAUAUUACACAUUGACACUAUUGAAGUUUUAAUUUUGUAUUUAUAUAAUAUUUUAUAUUGAUAUUAUAAAAUAUACAUGUCCAACAAUAUUUUACACAUUUACAUUCUUGAAGCUCUUAAUGUAUAUAAAAUUUUAUAAAUAAAAUACAAUGUUUAUAUUUAUCUUUUCAAAAAAAUAAAAGAGAGAAUUAUAUCUAAUAUUUUAGUUUUGAUAACAAGAAUCUACAAAUUAUUUUAAAAUAAAAAAUAUAAUCGGGUUAAAGAUCAGAUAAAUGGGUCAAGAACUUUAACUCUAACCCGACACGAAAAAAAUAGUGUCGACCCGGUCCCAAUCCAUUUAAUAAUCAUCUUAAAUUUGACGACCCAUACCCAUUCAUUCGUGUCGUGUUCGUGUCGGGUAAUCGGGUUAUGUCAAAUUUUGCCAGCUCUACCCAUAAUAUUGAUGUUGUCACUGCUUUAUCUGCACAAAUGAGUGCUUUAUUUAAUAACCUGGAGCAUCUAAAUGUCAAUGCUAUUCAAACUCAAGUGUGUGAAUUAUGCGGAAGGAAUCAUACCAGUGUCAACUGCCAAGUUAUAAGUCCUUUUACAUCAUCAUCUGCUGAACAAGCUCAUUAUGUGUCGAACUUCCAAAGGCAACAAAAUAACCCAUAUUAUAAUACCUACAAUCCUAGCUGGAUAAACCACCCGAAUUUAUCAUGGAACAACACUCAAAAUACAUUAAAGCCAUCUCCAGGGUUCCAAUCACAAGAAAAGAAGUCAAAUUUAGAAGAUGACCUUACCCAUCUUACAACAAAUACAUUUUAAAAUCAAGCUGCAUCAAUCCGAAACCUCGAGGUGCAAAUGGGUCAGAUUGCAAACUUGUUAUCCAGCAAACCACAAGACUCUCUGCCGAGCAAUACAGAGACAAAUCAAAAGGAACAAAUGAAUGCAAUUAUGCUUCGGAACGAUAGACAACUUGAAGAUCAGUCAAAGGAAGUAAAGGAAGUUGAAGAAGAUAACAUGGAGCAAAUUAAGGACAUUACUAGAACAUUCGAGACAACAAGUGCAGAAAUUCCACAAUCACAAAAAUCAGCUCUAGUCAAAGCCUAUGUUCCUCCGAUCCCGUUUCCUCAAUGCCUUUAGAAAAACAAAUUAGAUAAGUAGUUUUCUCAAUUUCUUAAUUUUUUUUAAAAAGUUGCAUAGUAACAUCCCUUUUGCAGAUGCAUUAGAACAAAUGCCGAGCUAUACUAAAUUCAUGAAAGAAAUUUUAUCCAACAAGAGGAAAUUAAAAGAGCAUGAAACAAUGUUGUUAACUAAAGAGUCCACUAUAAUUUUACAAAAUAAAUUGCCACCGAAGUUGAAAGAUCCAGGAAGUUUUUCUAUCCCAUGCACUAUUGGAAAUACUUAUUUUGAUAAAGCUUUGUGUGAUUUAGGUGCAAGUAUUAAUUUGAUGCAUUUGAUGCCUCUAUCAGUUUUCUGGAAAUUAGGACUCGGUGAACCAAAGGUAACAACUGUUUCUCUUUAAUUGGCAGACAUGUCUAUAAAGUAUCCCAGAGGCAUGAUUGAGGACGUACUUGUUAAGGUCAACAAGUUUAUAUUUCCUACAUAUUUUAUUGUUUUGGAUAUGAAUGAAGAUUGGGAGAUACCAAUUAUUUUAGGUCGACUAUUCCUGGCCACGGGAAGAACUCUUAUUGAUGUCCAAGAAGAAAAACUAAUUUUUAGGGUGCAAGAUGAACAAGCCACUUUCAAUGUGUUCGAAUCAAUGAAAUAUCCAUCCGAGAUUGACACAUGCUUUCAAAUAGACACCAUUGAUAAAAAGAUAAUUGAGAGCGUUCGCAAUACAAUGCUGAAUGACUCAUUAGAAGGAUGUAUUGUUCACUUUGGGACUACUCAAUCUACGAAUAUAAGCAUUCAGAAGUAUGCAUGUUAUUUGGAAGCCUCACCAUUUUACUUACUUUAAAAAAAGCCAGAAUUAGAGGAGCUUGGUAGAAGUCCUUUUUGACCAAAACCUUCAAUAGAAGAACCUCUAAAACAUGGGCUUAAGCCUUUGCCCUCUCAUUUAAGGUAUGCUUUUAUUGAUGAUAACUUUAAGCUACUAGUUAUUAUUUUUUCUGGCAUGACAGAUCUUAAAGAGGAAAAACUACUUUGAGUUUUAAGGGACCACAAAACUAUUCUAGGAUGGACUAUUUCCGACAUAAAAGGAAUAAGCCCCUCAAUUUGCAUGCACAAAAUUCUAGUGGAGGAGAGUUAUAAGCUGACGGUAUAGCCAUAAAGGCGCCUAAAUCUGAACAUGCAAGAAGUGGUUAGGGCAGAUGUGCUUAAAUUAUUGGAUGUUGGGAUAAUUUAUCCAACCUUUGAUAGUUCAUGGGUCAGUCCAAUGCAAGUGGUACCAAAGAAGGGAGGAAUGACGGUUGUAAAGAAUGAUAAUAAUGAACUUGUUCUGACAAGAACAGUCACAGGUUGACGGGUAUGAAUGGAUUACAAAAACUUAAUGCUGCUACUAGAAAAAACCACUUUCCACUGCCUUUUAUUGAUCAGAUGUUUGAGAGACUUACUGGCCAUGCCUACUAUUGCUUUUUAGAUGGAUAUUCAGACUAUAAUCAAAUCCCUAUAGCACCAGAAGAUCAAGAGAACUACAUUCACAUGUCCUUAUAGAACAUUUGCUUAUAGAAGAAUGUCAUUCGGCUUAUGCAAUGCACUAACCACCUUUCAGCUUUGCAUGAUGGCUAUAUUUUCUGAUAUGGUGGAGAUAUUUAUUGAGGUGUUUAUGAAUGAUUUCUCAGUUUUUGGAUCUUCAUUUGAUCAUUGUUUGAAUUAUUUAGUUCUAGUUUUGCAGUGAUGCGAGGAGACCAACUUAGUUCUGAAUUGGGAAAAAUGUCACUUUAUGGUGCAAGUGAGCAUUGUACUGAGUCAUCGUAUUUCAGCUAAAGGAAUUGAAGUUGAUAGAGCGAAGAUCGAAGUCAUUGAAAAGUUGCCACCACUGACUUAUGUGAAAGUUGUAAGAAGUUUUCUUGGGCAUGUUAGGUUUUAUCGACGUUUUAUUAAAAAUUUUUCAAAGAUAACAAAACCCUUAUGCAACCUUUUACUCAAUGAUGUGCCUUUCAGUUUUACCGAUGAGUGUUUGCAAGCUUUUAACACUUUAAAAGAGAAACUGAUUUCAGCUCCAGUUAUUAUGACUCCAUAUUGGGAUCUACCUUUCGAGGUUAUGUGUGAUGUAAGUGAUUAUACUAUUGGAGUAGUUUUGGGACAACGACAUAAAAACAUGUUGCAUGUUAUUUACUAUGCAAGUUAAACUUUGGGAGACGCGCAAUUGAAUUAUACUACUACUGAGAAAGAGUUUUUGGCCGUUGUAUUUGCACUUGAAAAAUUCUGCUCAUAUUUGAUUUGCUCUAAGAUGAUAGUUUACACUGAUCAUUUAGCUCUCAAGUAUCUAUUCACAAAAACAUAUGCAAAACCAAGACUGAUCCGUUGGGUGCUCUUAAUACAAGAAUUUGAUUUAGAGAUUCGGGAUAGGAAAGGAUUUGAAAAUCUGGUGGCAGAUCACUUAUCUUGGUUAGAGUAUGAAGAGUGAGGGGAUAAUGUAAUGGUUUCAAUCACUAAAGAAUUUCUUGAUAAAAAGCUGUUGGCUCUUCAAACUUGUGACGCACCAUGGUAUGCAGAUUUUGUGAACUAUUUGGUGAGCAUCAUUGUUCCGUCUGAUUUAUCAUAUCAACAUAAGAAGAAAUUCCUCUCAGAUGUAAAAUAUUAUUUUUGGGAAGAUCCAUUCUUGUAUAAGUAUUGUUCAGACCAAAUCAUUCGACGAUGUGUCCUAGAAGAAGAGAUAAGAAAUAUUCUACAGUAUUGUCAUUCUCAUGAAGUUGGUGGACAUUUUGACGCAACCAAAACUGUGGCAAAAGUGCUUGAAUCAGGUUUUUAUUGGCCCACCUUAUUUAAAUAUGCUUAUACUUUUGUUGCUGCUUGUGACCGAUGUCAAAGAACUGGUAACAUUUCAAGGAAGAACGAAAUGCCACUAACUAAUAUUCUUAAAGUAGAAUUGUUUGAUGUCUGAGAAAUUGAUUUCAUCGGUCUGUUUCCAUCUUCCUUCAAGAAUAAAUAUAAUCUAGUAGUUGUUGAUUAUGUUUCUAAAUGGGUUGAAACUGUUACUUUGCCUUCUAAUGAUGCUCGGGUUGUUGUGAAUUUUAUGAAGAAAACUAUUUUCACACGGUUUGGCACUCCAAAAGCAAUUAUAAAUGAUAAUGGGAAACAUUUUUACAAUCAGCAAUUUGAAGCCUUCUUGAGCAAAUACGGAGUCACACAUAGAAUUGCCACCCCUUACCAACCACAAACUAGUGGCCAAGUUGAAGUUUAUAAUUGGGAAUUAAAAAGAAUUUUAGAGAAAACAGUAAAUGCAUCACGGAAAAAUUGAUAAAAAAAAACUAGAUGAUGCACUCUAGGCGUAUCAAACAACUUUCAAAACACAUGUUAGUAUGUCUCCUUAUCGUCUAGUAUUUGGAAAGGCAUGUCAUCUACCUGUUGAACUUGAGCAUAGGGCAUAUUGGGCUAUGAAGAUUUUGAACUUUGACAUGCAAGCAGCAUGAGAAAAGAGAUUGUUGCACCUUAAUGAAAUGGAUGAAUUUUGCAAUGCAGCUUAUGAGAAUGCUCGAAUCUAUAAAGCCCGCACUAAACAUUGGCAUGACAAAUAUAUACUCGGACAUGAAUUUCAGGUUGGCCAAAAGUUUUGCUGUAUAAUUCUCGACUUCGACUCUUCACAGGCAAGUUGCAAUCCCGUUGGUCUGGUCUUUUUACAAUAACACAAGUCUUUCCAUCUGGUGUGGUUGAAGUUUCUCAUGAUACAAAGGGCACAUUCAAAGUUAACAGUCAUCGAUUGAAGCCCUAUCUGGAUUAUGCAUUUGAUAAGCACAAGAUAGCUAUUGAGCUGUCUUGUCCUGAACGAUGACCAGAGACAGUCAAGCUAAUGGCUAUAAAUUAAGCGCUUCUUAGGAGGUAACCCAAGCUUUCUAAACUUUAUUAUUGUCUUUUUUUUUUAUCUUUCCUUAUUUCUUUUGUCUUUGCUUUUACUUAUUUUAUUUUGUUUAAGGAUUUUGUACAAGUUUGGGGGUCGAUGAACAUCAACUUUUCACAUACCUUUCAACAACUCAGCUACAACUUUACAUUUUCAAGUGCAAAACCGGGGGAGUUUCUCUUUUUCUUUUCUUUUUCUUUACAUUGAGGACAAUGUGUAUUUUAAGUUUGGGGGUGGGAAUAUUUGCUUUGCUUUUAAUUUUUUUUUAAAAAAAUAAAAAAAUUAAUGCCUAUGAUGAGUUUAUGAUUGAAAAUGAAAUAUGGUUCUUAGAAAGAGAUGAAUAUUGUCUUAGUUUAUACUUGAUUCUUGUGUUAGUUUUCGUCUUGAUUAUGAUUCUUUAAAUAUUUUGCGCACUUAUAUCGAUUCUUUCAAAAUUUUGACUUGAGAUUUGAGAUUGAUACAGUCUGAGUUAAGAAUUUUAGAUUGAGUAAAUGACUAUUUACCUUGAUUCUACUUUACUUAAGUUUAUCCAGGCACCAUAGUCAAAAAUAGCAAAUGCAAGUGAAGCUAUUUGAGAGAUUUGAGAGAGCUUUUACUUGAGUGUUCUAGUGAGGGUUUUGGGUGUUGAGAGUUUUUUCUAAUUUUGUAAAUUCUCAUUUGUUGGUAAAAUUAUUUUUCAGUCUUUGUCCGUGGACGUAGGCUUUAUGCUUAAUCACAUAAAUUAUUGUGUCAUAUUUUCUUUGCAUUAAUUUGUUAUAUUUAUAUUUUUCUAAAAGUUGCAGUCGCUAUAAUAUUAGGCAACACAUUGGACAAAUUGGUUGAGUCAUUUAAAAGAGGAUGUGUGACUCCGUUGGGAUAGUCAUAGAAAUAAUGAAGUAUGCACAAAAGUUCCAUAUAAUUUUUGUUUUGUAAUUCAAUAUUUUUCGUCUCGUGCAUUUUUUUCCUUUCUUAACUUUUGAGUAUGUAUAAACUAUUCGAGUAAAAAAUAACCUAUGUGAUUCUUUUUUGUUCUUUUGAAAAUAUAUGUUGAUCUUUUUUCUUUAAUUUGGAAUAUUAACAAUUGUUUGUCAAUCAAUGGCUUUCCUUUACUAUUCUUAAUAGGCUCAAAGGCUAAUUGCCAAAGGAUUUUUUUUUUCUUUUUAUAUGCUUUUGAGCUAGGGUUGGGUGUAGAGCUUAAUUAUAAUUUUUAACUCUCUAUCUCUAUAAGUUGAACUAGAACUAAUCAAAUAAAGAGGAUGAAAGUUACUCUUCAUGCCCGAGGAGGUCACGUAACUACAAAAAAAUUUAAUCUAAGUUGUAAAAAAGUACGUGAAUUUUCUGUCAACUAUUUUUUUCGUAGUCAUGCAAAUAUAAGGUAACGAUAAAUAGCAUGUGAUUGUCAUGUAAUUAAAAUGUAAAAUUAAUUAAUUUUUCUUAGCAUACUCUCCGUCGUCUAAGUUUAAUGUACUAAUGAGUAGAGAUAGACAAACUCAAUUCAACUCAACAAAUCCGAUUUAAUUCAAUUUAAACAAGGGUUAUUAUGAGUCAUUUUUUUAUAGUUUAUUUUUAAUAUCACAAAAAGAAAAAGAAAAAAAACUCUUUAUCUUCUCGUAUUCGUUGCAUUAAAUAUUUUGAAAUCACUUCCACCAAUAUUCCACCAAAUUAUUAGUAGAGAAUGACCUGUUAGCUCCUCAGCACUUAAACCUUUAGUGCAUGGGUUCAAGUCCUAACCAUUCGUGGAAGAAUAGAUAUAAAAAUUAAUAAUCUGGAUAGAUUUUUUAUUUUAAAUAUCAGUACAAUUCUAAUUGUGAUAUAUAUAUAUAUGUUCUCUUUUUGUCCUUUGUGUGAAUAAAAAAUAUUAUUGUUUCACUCGAUUAAAAUAAUCAGAAACAAACAAUAGCAUAAUCGGAACAAAUAGCAUAUAACACAAGAAAGUAAUCCAAAUAAUUAUGUCAGUGGUAUUGUACAAAUAAAUGUGACUUACUUAAACAAAGUAUUAACGCUUACACGUCAAAAUAAGUACUACCGAUAUUUGAAGCAGAAAUUUGAAAAGAAUGAAACAAAAGCCUUGAGACACCCAUUAUUAUGUUGGUAAUUUCUAGUUAAUGAUGCAUGGAGUUACAAACUCAGAUUGCUGAUCCAGAUAACUGGAUCCUUAUCAACGGAACAUAAAUAAAAUGUCGCCUGUAUACAUCAAGCAUCUACGUACAUUUAAUUGGGAGAAUGACGGUCUGGUACAAUUUUUUCAGUAGAGCUUGUUCGCCUAAAGGGCUACACAUAAUGUAAUUUUGAUGAUAACAAACAUGUGUUUUAAGUGAUUUAAUAAAUAUUGUAUUUCACAUUUUCACUAGUUUUUUAAGGAUAAUAUUUAUGCAAAUGAAUUAAGUGAAAUUAAGUUGAAGACACUCAACGGAUACCGGCGAAAUCAAGAAUAAAGUUUAGAGCUCAACGGAUAAAUUAUUGCGAUAAAUUCUUGUAAAACCGAUAUGAUUUAAUUGAUGCAUGAUUUAACAUUUGAGAAGCUCAAGAGAUUCAUUUAAAUAAUUACUUUUUAUAAACUAAAAUAUUUUAUUUUUAUAAGGUAGAGUAUUUUGUGGAUUUGAGUAAUUUGGACUUAAAUGAAAAGUUUUGUAAUCUUUGAAUUUAAAAAGUAUUAUUUUGAAUUUCGGAGUUGGACUUUUUUACAAACAUUUGAAAUAUUUUAAGCCAUACUAUAAUUUAUGAAAGUUUGAGGAGUCAAAUAUAAUCCAAACAUUUGAAAUCUAAAAUUGGACAGAGAGUGAGCGGCUAACUGCCUGAGGCUAGGGGCUUGCCGCCCGAGGAAAAUCUCAUAUUUUCAAAUUUUGGACUAAAGUGAAAGAUUUUGAAAACUUUAAAAAAUAUGAGUAUUAUGUUAAAUUUUGAAAAGGACUUCUUUAAAAAAUACUAUUAUAUUUGUGGCUAUAUCAUAAUUUUAAAAAGUCUUAGGAAUGACAAGCAUUAUUUAGAAAUUCUGAAAUUGGACCUAUUUGUAAAGUUUUAUAACGUUUUGAGCUAUAGUAUAAUUAUAGAAAGUUUUAGGCCAAAAUAUAAUUUUGAUUAACAUUGUUACUGUAGUAAAAUUCAAAUUUAACAAUAAUAUCACUGUUAUGAGUGGCUAGCCGAAUAAAUCAAGCGGCUAACCGCUUGAUUGCGGGAAUUUGCCUAUAACGGCUAAUUUUUGAGCCUUAACUAUAAAAACUCAACUUCAACUUUAUUUUAAGGACUAAUACAACCAUAAACAAGAUCAUAUAACACAUAUUGAGCUUCGAUUUCGCAAAUCAUCAUUUAUUGAAUCAUUAUUGUGCUAUUAUUUGCAUAUCCACUCUUAAAGAGAGUUUUUGUUGUAAUUUUCAUUUAUUAUCAAAUUGUGAGUGUACAAAUGUGAGAAACACUUGGAGUGAAGAGAUUGAGGAGAUGAUCUCUUGAUUGUAAAGGUUCAUUGACACCUUAAAAGUCAAUUGUAAGAACUUGAAGUCUUGGGAGGCUUGAAUACUGAAAUCCUCAAGUUUGGUUGGUUUGGAGGCGUGGACGUAGGCGGGGAUUGCUGAACCACGUAAAAAUCCUUGUGUUUGUUUUCUCUUCCCUUACUCUUUUAUUAUUGUGCUAUAUUGAAUUUAUUAUUUUUGCAUUUGAUUAAGACAAUAGAUUAAAUUGUUGUGCGAAUUGUUUGGCAUAAAAUUUAAAAUCUCAAUUCACCCCCCCUCUUGAGUUGCAUAACUUGCAUUUCAAAGCUUUUACAAGUAAAGUUUUUACGAGUAGAACUUUUGAUAAAAAGUUGUUGAGUAUUUAGUUGUCAAUUAAAAAAACUUUUUUGACUUAAUCUACAUCAAGCUAAAUAAUUUUGCUUAAUUAAUUUGUGUAGUAAACCACUACUGUUAUAGAAAAUUAAAUAAAAAAGUUUAUAAAUGUCAUAUAAUGAAUAUAAAAUUUAUAGUUAAAACAAUUCAAUUGAACUUAUUUCACUUGUUUUUAGUACAAAUUCUUGUUUCCAAUUGAUGAGCGAUUUUUCUUUGUUUAACUAAAACAAAUGAAUAAAUUAUUUUUUAUUAAAAUUUUGUAGAACCAGGUAGUUUUUUUUAUUAAUUUACUUGUUUUCACAUUUUAUUUACUAGUUUUAUAUAUAAUUUAUAAAAUUUAUGUUCAUCACAGCAUUUUAGAAAUUUUCAAUCGGAUGACAUAGCAUUUCAUGACGGUCGCGAUGUUUUCCUUAUGUACAAUUUAUAAUGGCAAUAACAUGUACUUGCCGUAUAUGAAUGGUCAUAAUGACAUAUUGAUUUUAGCUCAUAGUGGUUCCAUUGUCUUAAUUGAGAAAAUCUUCUACAUAAUCAUCAAAAUUCUUGAGAAUUAUCUUGUGACUUUUAUAAUAAGUAACUGCUCAUUUAUUUAACCAUACGAGUUUAAAUUAUUGGAGAAGAUAGCAACUAAAAAUUAAUAUGGGCUUUGCCAACACCAAUUGCUUUGUGUAGUCUUCACGAUAUAAUAAUCAAACUACGUGCAUUUUUUCCCUCUCCCGUUCCCUCUUUUUGACUCUUCGACAUUCGUGAAAAAUAACAACGCCGGUAUUCACACAAAGGGGAGCACAAAACUUUGCACAAAAUGGUGCGUUUUGUGCAAAGUAUAAAAUGUCUCUACUGGUGCAAUGAGCACCUCACAUACACAACAAACGCGCCCAAAGUUUACGCGUCUGACUCUUUUCUUUUUCCCUCAUUACACUGCUUUUCUUUUCUCCUUCAUCGUAACUCUUUCUCUCUUGUCUCCAAGCUGCAAGCUGCUGCCAUAAGCUCCACCGCAGCAGCCGUUUUCUCCCGUCUCCACGCAGUUGCCUUAUUCCCAACAGUACAACAACAAGUCUCUUUGCUCUCAUACCCUCACAUACACAACUGGCUCAUCUAAUGAAUCGAUCUGUUAACAUCAGUUGGGUUUUGAAGGUGGGUUAUGAAGAAGUGAUUCAAGGCGAUCAAACUUCACUCCAACUUCCAAAAGCUUGAAUCUAGCAAUAAUGUCAUCACUGAGCCUUUGUUGUUGUUGUUCUCGGCUUUUGUUCUUAACUUUGCCAUCUAUCUCUUCUGUUUGGGAGAGAUACUGUUUGGGAUAAAUAUGUCGACGAGACCAGGAAUGACGAGCAGAUAUCGGAUGGCAGAGUUCUGCGAACCGGUGUGUUUCGUGAAAGCCUGGUGCGCGGAAGAACAGGAGCAGAAAUAUCCUGUUCGUCCACGAUGUUGUCAUCCGCGAGGCCAAUUUCCUAUAAGAGGCAUACGGCCAUUCCGGCUAGAGGUCGAUAGGCGAGGAGACCCGGUCGACAGCAGUUGGCAAGACAUGCUCUCCAGCCCGAGAAUCUAGGCACGACAGCCACGCUUUCCCCUGAACCGUGGCGUAACACGCAAGAUCUCACAGAACCACGACAGCCACGCUUUCCCCUGAACCGUGGCGUAACACGCAAGAUCCCACAGAACCACGACAGCCGCGCUUUCCCCUGAACCGUGGCGUAACACGCAAGAUCACACAGAACCCCGACAGCCACGCUUUCCCCUGAACCAUGGCGUAACACGCAAGAUCCCACGUUUGCCCAUAACGCUGCAGUCAGAGCCCCAGACCGUCUCGAGAAAAGCGAAAAACGGGGAUUCAGAGGAAGCCUAUAAAAAGGUAGCCAACGAAGGUAAAAGGGUUGGCAUUUUUGAGAUAAAAGAAAAAAACCACGAAAAAAGCCACAAGACCAGUGGCAAGCGUUCCCCGAACCUUGAUAUCUGACUUGAUCGUCGGAGGGUUUGCGCCGGGAGAACAACCGGCGUACUCUGACUUGUCUGUGUGUGCAGGGAUAUCUGGAGAAGAAGCAUUACUAGGAGACCUCCUGGUCGUGGGGAAGUUGAUCGAGCAGAGAUCCUGGUCGUAUAACGAGGAGAACUGGAAUCUCGCAUCAACAUUUUGGCGCCGUCUGUGGGGAUCCAGAGCAAAAAGCUUCUGUUGAUAGCAAGAAGAGGGGUGAAGUAAGCGAAAAGCAAUGGAGACAGGAGGAAGUAGUGCAUAAGGGGGUGAUAUGAGGCUUAACGAUUCCAUGACGCUGAGGGAGAUAGUCAGCGAAGCACGGGAAAAAGUCAUGUUCGACCGGAUGGAACGGAUGGAAAAGCAGAUGGAGACCUUGACAACCAUCCUGCAUGAGCUGCGGAGCGAGCGAAGGGUAACCCAAGAGGGAAGGGUGAGAGGUGGUGGAGUGGCACCAGGUCCCGAUAGUGCGGGGAGAAGUCAAACCACAGGGAGACACGGUGGUGAGAGGGGUAACGUACCUCUACGGGGAGAAUUUCAUAGAGAAAGAGAGCGGUCCCCGGCAAGACAGACUUGUGAACCGGACGACGGGGUGGUGAAUGCAGAGGAAACAGAGUUGAUGCAACACUUGCAAGAUGUAGAGCAAGAGCGGGAUCAAGUUGCAGCACGUGACCCUGGUCGUGCAGGGCAGCUGGAGGAGGAAGUGCGCAGACUAGCGCAGAUAAUUGACGACAUGCAAGGGAGGAACAGAGCCCCUGGUUGGAGGAUAAUGCUGGACGGAGAAUCGCCGCUCGCAGCGGAGAUCAUGAGGGCAGUUAUUCCGAGAGAUUUCCGCCUCCCCGACCUCAGAUACUCGGGAAGAACUGAUCCGCUGAUGCACAUAGAGCGCUUCAACGACAUAACUGGGGUACAAGGACUAUCUCAACCCCAAAGGUGCAGGGUGUUCCCACUAUCCCUCGAGGGACGUGCACGAGAAUGGUACAGGAAACUUCUUCGGGGCAGCAUUAAAACCUUCGAGCAGAUGUGCCAGGAAUUCGCAGAGCAGUUCAGUGGGGCGAUGUCACCGGAAGAUGACAUGAUGGAGCUGAAAAGCAUGAAACAGGGGGAGCAAGAAACCCUUCGGGAAUUCAUCAAGAGGUUUCAUCGGGCUGUCCUCGACUUGGGAGCCUUCAACCACCCUCAGGCGUUAAGGGGAUUGAAAGAAGGGGUGAAGAUAGGAAGGCUGUGGUACAAUUUGAGAAGCCCAGCUAUUCAAACGUAUGCGGCCGCAUACGAGCAGGCUAAAAGAGACAUCGAGAUUGAAGAGGAGAAGGCUGCACGGAUCAAGACAGACCAGUUAGAAGGGUUGGGGAGGAAAGAGAAGAAAGCAUUACCAGGGAAUGGGCCGAUCAGGAGAAGGGACCACCAGGCCUCCGGUAGUGGAGCAGGAGGUAGGGUCACCGCUUACCAGCCUCAUCAGAGGCCACCACAGUAUCAGCACAGCAGGGCGCAACCUCCUCGUCCCCCAGCUAGGGAACCUUGCACAAGAAAUGAUCCGGCAUCUGGUGGUCUUCAUCAACAUUCCCACGGUGGCAGGACGAGCAGACCAGAAGUACUUCCACCGCCCCCAACUCAGAGCGGGGCAAACAGAGAAAGAGCAGUGCAUCUGAUCGACCAGAACCAGGACUAUGGGCGGUACACUCCCUUGAAGAUGUCCCUGGAUGAGGUAUACGAGGCCAUAAAGGAUCGAGGGCUGCUGCACCCCCCUACACCAAUAACAAAGCUACCCAACAGGAGGGAUAGAGGACGUUAUUGUAAGUUCCAUGGCACCCAUGGCCAUACCACAACAGAGUGUAGAGAUCUCAAGACCCAUGGCCAUACCACACCAAUAACAAAGCUACCCAACAUUAUGGAUGGGACUUUUCCGAUGGUGGCCACGACAGAUGAAGGGGAGCAGAGCGAUAGAAUCUUGAGGCGCGAGCAGCCCGCAGUAAGAGUGAUAGCCGGGGGCCCAACGUUGGCCGGAGAUUCAAACAGAUCGAGAAAAAAUUAUGCUAGGUACGUCAUGACCAGUAAAGAGGUACUCCUCAACACCCCAGCAGCCAAACGAGCAAGGGUCAGGCAAGUGCCAAUCAUGUGGACGGAUGAGGAUGAGGAAGGGAUUCUAUACCCCCACGAGGAUGCCUUAGUCAUCAGGGCUACGGUCGCUAGCAAGAAGUUUGACCGGAUACUGGUUUAUACAGGGAGCUCAGUUGAUGUGUUAUUUAAGUCAACCCUGGAAGAGAUGGGAAUAGCCGACUGAAAGUUGGAAUACACCAACACCUCCUUGAAGGGGUUCGGAGGAGGGAAGCUGGUUCCUCUGGGCGUGGUCGAACUGCCCAUCACAAUUGGGAGCCCCCCGACAGAAAGAACAGUGAUACUGGACUUUGUCGUAGUGGAUGAGGAAGGUCCUUACCAGAUGAUCCUAGGUCGGCCAUUUUUAAGGAUAAGUAAAGCGGUGUUGUCCAACCAUUAUCUGGCUCUGAAGUACCGGGUGAAUGGGGUAGUAGGAGUGGUACGAGGAGACCAGAGGAUCGCAAGAAGCUGCUACUCCUCGGCAGCAAGGGAGGCAAUGCAGAUAACAUCCCUCGAUACCCGAGUGGAAAACAAGACUGGCAGACAAGAACCUGUAGAGGAUCUGGAAACAGUGAGCAUGGAACCAGAGAACCCGGGAAAGACGAUCAGAAUCGGGUCGAGACUUAAGAGAGAGCAAAAGCAGGAGUUGGUGAAAUGCUUACAGGCUCAUGCUGAUGUGUUUGCCUGGACACAUGAAGACAUGCCGGGGAUUGACCCUGAGGUAGCGUGUCAUAAGCUGGCAAUAAAGAAAGGUGCUCGGGCAGUAAGGCAGAAGAGGAGGUGCUUCAACCAGGAGAGGUAUGAGGCUGUAAAUGACGAGGUGGAGAAGCUCUUGAGAGCAGGGUUCAUUCGGGAAGUCAGUUACCCAGAAUGGAUAUCAAACGUGGUGCUGGUAAAGAAGGCAAACGGCAAGUGGAGGAUGUGUGUGGAUUUCACAGACCUCAACAAGGCGUGCCCAAAAGACAGCUUCCCUUUACCAAGGAUCGACCAGCUAGUAGAUUCAACGGCUGGACAUGGUCUGCUUAGCUUCAUGGACGCAUUCUCGGGAUACAACCAGAUCCCCAUGUACGAGCAGGAUGAGGAGAGCACGGCUUUCAUCACUAACCAAGGUUUGUUCUGUUACAGGGUGAUGCCAUUCGGUCUCAAGAAUGCUGGGGCCACCUAUCAAAGGCUGGUGAACAAAGUCUUUAAGCCGUUGAUCGGGAAAACCAUGGAGGUGUACGUGGAUGACAUGAUUACCAAGUCCAAAAUCCCGAAGGAACACGUCAGACACCUCGA